AGGUCCCACCGAGACUCGAACUCGGAUCGCUGGAUUCAAAGUCCAGAGUGCUCACCAUUACACCAUGGGACC
This 72-nucleotide transfer RNA is filed under the name Arabis alpina (gray rockcress). RNAcentral's name for it is "tRNA ENSRNAG00050208291". The record is from RNAcentral. Lineage: Eukaryota; Viridiplantae; Streptophyta; Magnoliopsida; Brassicales; Brassicaceae.